This 208-nucleotide ribosomal RNA is filed under the name uncultured bacterium. Its description in RNAcentral is "partial 16S ribosomal RNA". It matches the Rfam family "Bacterial small subunit ribosomal RNA", at positions 568 to 775 of the family's 1533-position model. The record is from RNAcentral.
CGUGUAGGUGGCGCUAUAAGUUUGGUGUGAAAUUUCAGGGCUUAACCUUGAAUGUGCGCUAAAAACUGUAGGGCUAGAGUGUAAGAGGGGUCUUUGGAAUUACAUGUGUAGAGGUGAAAUUCGUAGAUAUAUGUAAGAACACUCGAGGCGAAGGCAGGAGACUGGCUUACAACUGACACUGAGGCGCGAAAGUGUGGGGAGCAAAACA